GCCGCUGCAGUCUCGGCACAUCGGGCGGCUUUUGGCCGUCGGAAGCCCUGCGGAGCCUGGUUCCAUUCACCCCCCUGGAGCGCCCCGGGCUCCUUCAUCAGCGCCCUUGGGCUGGAACAAAGGCAAGGGGUCGCGCAGCAUCGUCCCAACGGCCCCUUCGCGCAUCUGGCCAAAGCCGGGAGAAAGAGCACCGGGGUCCCCAAGGUAACCAGGACGCGGUACCCGCCCUCCCAGAGCGCAAAGCUCAGCCGCUCCGCGCGCGCUGAGCCGGGAGUCGGGAAGCACCAGAGAUUCCAGCCGCCGCGCCCGCCGAGGGCUCCAAGGGGAAUCCAUCAAAGCCACCCCAGCCCGUGCUGGAGGCUUCUCACCACGGUCUGGUUCACGCUCAGAGGUUUCUUCAUCAUCGUCUGCCCAGCCUGAGGGAAGGUGUCUGUGCCGUGUGGCUGGGGGAGCUCUGUUUCUGCUAUUCCCAAAAGCCAGCUGGUGAGGGGUGCUGCCAGCUUUGGAGGUUCCCUACUCUACCUGCGACCUGGUCCCCUGCUUCGCCCUAGACUCACCAUGAGAGGACAGACACCCACAGUGGGUCCCAGAGAUGGGAAAAAAGAAAGGACUCCAAGGACCACACCCUCUGAACAAGUCAUCACACUUCAAGGAUAUAUGUAUACAGAGCAGUCAUGGUAUACAGUAGAUUCUCAUGAUCUGCGGUAGUCCUGUUCUAAGAAGUCACCCGAACACUGAAUUAGCAAAUACUGAAAACAUUGCUUCUAGGGCAAAUACAGGGUGAGGGGCCUGCGAGCAUCUGGUCACUACAUUUGAUCAACCAAUCAGUACAUUACCCUGUUUUAUGUGUGUUUCUGUUUAAAGACACCUUAUUUAAUAUAUGCUGUUCAUGAAUUAACACUGAACCCACGGCCAGUGGCACUAUAACUCAUGCCUGAAGGAAGCUUAUCUAACACAUGUAUUUUCUUCAUAAGACACAUCCCAGCCGUCUUGAGCUUAGCAUCACUGGACAGCACUUCAGUGCUAGCUUGGGGGGCCAUGUCAAAAAGCAGAAUCACCACCAAAAAGCACAGAAAUGUGGAAAACGUGGCACUAAAUAGAUCGCAGAAAGAGCUGAAACAAGAAAGAAGCACCUCUCCUUGUUUGCCCUCAGCUGGGGAUGUCCGUGUGGGGUGACUCACAUUUUUUGCUGCUCUGCGCGUGUCUGCCAAUGACCACGAAAGUGCCGCAAGUAUGGACUUUUGAGACUGCAAAUAAAUUUUGGGCUGUGGGUCGAAUGGCGUCCCCCUACAAGAUAUGUUGACAUCCUAACCCCUGGUACCUAUGCAUGUGAUCGUAUUUGGAAAUAGUCAUCUGUCCAGAUGGAAUCGGGUUAAGAGGAGGUCAUCAUGGAUUCACGUGCACCCUAAUCCAAUAUGACUGGCUUCCCUAAUAAGAAGAGAAAAGACACAGAGACACACACAGGGAGAAUGCCAUGUGACCGCAGAGGGAGAUCGGAGCGAUACAUGGACAGGCCAAGGAGCACUGAGGAUUGCCAGCAGCGCCAGCAGCUAAGGGAAGGACAAGGAAGAUUCUCUCCUAGAGCCUCCAGAGAGAGCACGGCCCUGCUGACACCUUGAUUUCAGAGUUGUAGCUUCUAGAACGAGGAGGGAAUGAACUCUUGUUGUUUUAAGACACCCAGUUACUGCAAUUUGUUACGGCAGCUCUUGGACUUGUCAUACUUGUGUACUAGAAAGGGCUGAGAGUUUUAAAAAAGAGACAGGAG
This is a non-coding RNA of Globicephala melas (long-finned pilot whale), 1765 nucleotides long. The record is from RefSeq and is a predicted model, not a curated record. NCBI's taxonomy places the organism in Eukaryota, Metazoa, Chordata, Mammalia, Artiodactyla, Delphinidae.